This 253-nucleotide ribosomal RNA is filed under the name uncultured bacterium. RNAcentral describes it as "partial 16S ribosomal RNA". It matches the Rfam family "Bacterial small subunit ribosomal RNA", at positions 524 to 776 of the family's 1533-position model. The record is from RNAcentral.
UACGUAGGGUGCGAGCGUUAAUCGGAAUUACUGGGCGUAAAGCGUGCGUAGGCGGUGGCUCAAGCCAGGCGUGAAAUCCCCGGGCUUAACCUGGGAAUGGCGUUUGGGACUGGGUCGCUAGAGUGUGGCAGAGGGAGGUGGAAUUCCACGUGUAGCAGUGAAAUGCGUAGAGAUGUGGAGGAACACCGAUGGCGAAGGCAGCCUCCUGGGCCAGCACUGACGCUCAUGCACGAAAGCGUGGGGAGCAAACAGG